RNAcentral lists this ribosomal RNA (431 nucleotides) under bacterium enrichment culture clone ALO1_GLFRUDD03FKR7M. RNAcentral's name for it is "bacterial SSU rRNA". It matches the Rfam family "Bacterial small subunit ribosomal RNA", at positions 9 to 441 of the family's 1533-position model. The record is from RNAcentral.
GAGUUUGAUCUUGGCUCAGAUUGAACGCUGGCGGCAGGCCUAACACAUGCAAGUCGAGCGGAUGACGGGAGCUUGCUCCUUGAUUCAGCGGCGGACGGGUGAGUAAUGCCUAGGAAUCUGCCUGGUAGUGGGGGACAACGUUUCGAAAGGAACGCUAAUACCGCAUACGUCCUACGGGAGAAAGCAGGGGACCUUCGGGCCUUGCGCUAUCAGAUGAGCCUAGGUCGGAUUAGCUAGUUGGUGGGGUAAUGGCUCACCAAGGCGACGAUCCGUAACUGGUCUGAGAGGAUGAUCAGUCACACUGGAACUGAGACACGGUCCAGACUCCUACGGGAGGCAGCAGUGGGGAAUAUUGGACAAUGGGCGAAAGACCUGAUCCAGCCAUGCCGCGUGUGUGAAGAAGGUCUUCGGAUUGUAAAGCACUUUAAGUU